UUGAUAUGAUUGAGCUAUUGAAUCAUAUGAUAUGUGGAUUCUCUGCCAAUACAACUGUAAAAAAAGAACACAGGUCCGCUCCAGCUUACUUCUCCCCCUUUCACAGCCACGCAGACCAAUAAUUAGACCUGAGAGGUGGUUAUGAAUUGGAUUGAACUUGCUUAGAUGGUCCCAGGAGCCCAGGUGACACAGUGGAUUGUGUUGGGCUGGGAACCACCGGAGCAGCAGUUGUAACCCACCAUACACCACCGCCCACCCCAGAGAACGACGAGGCUGUCAAUGCCCUUAAGGAUGUACAGCCUUGGCGAUCGCCAAAGGUACAGCUCUACACUUUCCAAUGGGCCCUCUCAAUGGAGUCCACUCUAUGGCCCGGUUUGAAGGGAGGGCCCCUGGGUGGUGUAAAAGGUUAAGAGCUGAGCUAUUACUCGGAAGGUGGGCUGUUAGAACCCACCUGAGAGGGGGCCAGUUCUGAGGCGUCUGGCAAGAAAAUGGUGGCAGACUUCAUCUAAAGAUCAAAGUCAUGAAAACCUCAUGGAGUGGAACAGAGUGGAGUGGAGGAGAGUGAUGAAGACAUUGAAGAAUUCUACUGACAUCUUCAGUCAAAAUUGUACACAUUCUGCAUGAGCACAAUGAAGUGUUUUUGGAAUUCCCAUUCUUUUUCAAGGCUAACCAUUUGCUAGGUUCAGCAGAGUUGUAUGCCUUGGCGUAGUCAAUAAAAUACUGUCAAACAUC
Echinops telfairi (small Madagascar hedgehog) is the source of this 732-nucleotide long non-coding RNA. RefSeq lists it as uncharacterized. The record is from RefSeq and is a predicted model, not a curated record. The transcript is spliced from 2 exons. Lineage: Eukaryota; Metazoa; Chordata; Mammalia; Afrosoricida; Tenrecidae.